Molecule: ribosomal RNA, 1178 nt
Filed under: Campylobacter jejuni
Lineage: Bacteria; Pseudomonadati; Campylobacterota; Epsilonproteobacteria; Campylobacterales; Campylobacteraceae
Description: partial 23S ribosomal RNA
Rfam family: Bacterial large subunit ribosomal RNA
Source: RNAcentral
UAAAAAAAGGUAAGCUACUAAGAGCGAAUGGUGGAUGCCUUGACUGGUAAAGGCGAUGAAGGACGUACUAGACUGCGAUAAGCUACGGGGAGCUGUCAAGAAGCUUUGAUCCGUAGAUUUCCGAAUGGGGCAACCCAAUGUAUAGAGAUAUACAUUACCUAUAUAGGAGCGAACGAGGGGAAUUGAAACAUCUUAGUACCCUCAGGAAAAGAAAUCAAUAGAGAUUGCGUCAGUAGCGGCGAGCGAAAGCGCAAGAGGGCAAACCCAGUGCUUGCACUGGGGGUUGUAGGACUGCAAUGUGCAAGAGCUGAGUUUAGCAGAACAUUCUGGAAAGUAUAGCCAUAGAGGGUGAUAGUCCCGUAUGCGAAAAACAAAGCUUAGCUAGCAGUAUCCUGAGUAGGGCGGGACACGAGGAAUCCUGUCUGAAUCCGGGUCGACCACGAUCCAACCCUAAAUACUAAUACCAGAUCGAUAGUGCACAAGUACCGUGAGGGAAAGGUGAAAAGAACUGAGGUGAUCAGAGUGAAAUAGAACCUGAAACCAUUUGCUUACAAUCAUUCAGAGCACUAUGUAGCAAUACAGUGUGAUGGACUGCCUUUUGCAUAAUGAGCCUGCGAGUUGUGGUGUCUGGCAAGGUUAAGCAAACGCGAAGCCGUAGCGAAAGCGAGUCUGAAUAGGGCGCUUAGUCAGAUGCUGCAGACCCGAAACGAAGUGAUCUAUCCAUGAGCAAGUUGAAGCUAGUGUAAGAACUAGUGGAGGACUGAACCCAUAGGCGUUGAAAAGCCCCGGGAUGACUUGUGGAUAGGGGUGAAAGGCCAAUCAAACUUCGUGAUAGCUGGUUCUCUCCGAAAUAUAUUUAGGUAUAGCGUUGUGUCGUAAUAUAAGGGGGUAGAGCACUGAAUGGGCUAGGGCAUACACCAAUGUACCAAACCCUAUCAAACUCCGAAUACCUUAUAUGUAAUCACAGCAGUCAGGCGGCGAGUGAUAAAAUCCGUCGUCAAGAGGGAAACAACCCAGACUACCAGCUAAGGUCCCUAAAUCUUACUUAAGUGGAAAACGAUGUGAAGUUACUUAAACAACCAGGAGGUUGGCUUAGAAGCAGCCAUCCUUUAAAGAAAGCGUAAUAGCUCACUGGUCUAGUGAUUUUGCGCGGAAAAUAUAACGGGGCUAAAGUAAGU